AUCCAAGAGAAUUUAGCAGAGAUGCUUUAGUGCCUUCGGGAACUCUGAGACAGGUGCUGCAUGGCUGUCGUCAGCUCGUGUUGUGAAAUGUUGGGUUAAGUCCCGNAACGAGCGCAACCCUUAUCCUUUGUUGCCAGCACGUAAUGGUGGGAACUCAAAGGAGACUGCCGGUGAUAAACCGGAGGAAGGUGGGGAUGACGUCAAGUCAUCAUGGCCCUUACGAGUAGGGCUACACACGUGCUACAAUGGCGCAUACAAAGAGAAGCGACCUCGCGAGAGCAAGCGGACCUCAUAAAGUGCGUCGUAGUCCGGAUUGGAGUCUGCAACUCGACUCCAUGAAGUCGGAAUCGCUAGUAAUCGUAAAUCAGAAUGUUACGGUGAAUACGUUCCCGGGCCUUGUACACACCGCCCGUCACACCAUGGGAGUGGGUUGCAAAAGAAGUAGAUAGCUUAACCUUCGGGAGGGCGUUUACCACUUUGUGAUUCAUGACUGGGGUGAAGUCGUAACAAGGUAAGCGUAGUGCU
RNAcentral lists this ribosomal RNA (525 nucleotides) under uncultured bacterium. RNAcentral describes it as "bacterial SSU rRNA". It matches the Rfam family "Bacterial small subunit ribosomal RNA", at positions 986 to 1509 of the family's 1533-position model. The record is from RNAcentral.